GAUGAGAGACUUAUCACCUUGCAGCCCAAGACCGGUAUCUCACUGAAGCUUAGAAGGGCUGAGCCAGCUUAGUACCUGGAUGAGAAACCACAUGGGAAAACUAGGUUGCUGCCAGAA
This 117-nucleotide ribosomal RNA is filed under the name Danio rerio (zebrafish). Lineage: Eukaryota; Metazoa; Chordata; Actinopteri; Cypriniformes; Danionidae. The record is from RNAcentral.